Molecule: transfer RNA, 65 nt
Filed under: Aristobrotica sp. REN-2018
Lineage: Eukaryota; Metazoa; Arthropoda; Insecta; Coleoptera; Chrysomelidae
Description: tRNA-Arg
Source: RNAcentral
AAGUAAGAAGCAAAAAAUUGCACUUAGUUUCGACCUAAAUUUAUGAUAUACACAUAUCCUUACUU